This 852-nucleotide long non-coding RNA is filed under the name Gossypium barbadense (sea-island cotton). Its description in RNAcentral is "long non-coding RNA (GBAR_LNC023374)". The record is from RNAcentral. Lineage: Eukaryota; Viridiplantae; Streptophyta; Magnoliopsida; Malvales; Malvaceae.
AAACCAAAAUAAAAAGCCCAACUUUAUAACAGUCCAAAUUAAUAGCCCGAUUGGCCUAACUAUUUUACAGACCUGAGUAUAAAGACCCAAAUGUAAAAAUAAUGGCCCAAUGGUCUAAUCUUAAAAUAGGCCCAAGCGACCCAAAUGAUUGGUUGCAGAAACUUAAUCCCUAGCCCAAGUUACAAUAGCCCACUGCUAAAACAAUCCCAAACGGCCCAAAAGGGCCCAACAAUUUGAGAAUACCAGAAACCCUAGAGGUUUCUAGAACAUGCUAGCACCGCAGCCACCCAGGCAAUCGGGCUUUCACGAGUGGUUUCCCACACACGGCCUCGCCACGUCAUGGUCUUCUCCUCCGUACAGUCGAACUUGCGAGAAGAAAAAAGAUAAGAAUAAUAGAAUGUAAAAUACAGUGAAAAAUAGCAAAAAAGGAAAGUUAGUUUUUGUAAUUUUUAUUUUACUCAGCUAUAAAAGCCAUCGUUUGUACUGUAAAAAGGACUUACGCAUACUGGAUACAAAUACAAGAAACCAUUAAAAAUCAGUUUUAGAAAGGUGAUUUUAAAUCUCGUUUUUUCUUUUGAAUUUGCUUCUAUUCUCUUUGAUUUAUCUACUGCAUGUAAAACAAAUAAAGAAGAGGGACUUAUCUUUAUAAUGGCCUUCGAAUCCUUGUUUGAUUCGUUAAAAUUAAAGCUUAAAUAGGGAUUAGAAGGAUAUGGCUUCAAUUAGGAUCGAGCUUGGCCUUCGUGUGACGCCAUCCGCCGACUAUGGUGGUGAAAUGGCGGUUAGGGUGAAGAACCGUCUAAUUCGGUCGAAGAAAGAUAGGAAGCUUAGGUUUUUUUUUGUGUUGAUUUUUCU